GGGCUCGUAGCUCAGUGGCUAGAGCGCUUUCCUGAUAAGAAAGAGGUCGGUGGUUCGAUCCCACCCGAGCCCACCA
RNAcentral lists this transfer RNA (76 nucleotides) under Candidatus Saccharimonadota bacterium. RNAcentral describes it as "tRNA-Ile". It matches the Rfam family "tRNA". From Rfam's summary of the family: Transfer RNA (tRNA) molecules are approximately 80 nucleotides in length. Their secondary structure includes four short double-helical elements and three loops (D, anti-codon, and T loops). Further hydrogen bonds mediate the characteristic L-shaped molecular structure. tRNAs have two regions of fundamental functional importance: the anti-codon, which is responsible for specific mRNA codon recognition, and the 3' end, to which the tRNAs corresponding amino acid is attached (by aminoacyl-tRNA synthetases). tRNAs cope with the degeneracy of the genetic code in two manners: having more than one tRNA (with a specific anti-codon) for a particular amino acid; and 'wobble' base-pairing, i.e. permitting non-standard base-pairing at the 3rd anti-codon position. The record is from RNAcentral. Lineage: Bacteria; Candidatus Saccharimonadota.